ACUCCUACGGGAGGCAGCAGUAGGGAAUUUCCGCAAUGGACGAAAGUCUGACGGAGCAAUGCCGCGUGAGUGAUGAAGGUUUUCGAAUCGUAAAAGCUCUGUUGUAAGGGAAGAAUAGCAAGGAUAGGAAAUGAUCCUUGUCUGACGGUACCUUACCAGAAAGCCACGGCUAACUACGUGCCAGCAGCCGCGGUAAUACGUAGGUGGCAAGCGUUAUCCGGAAUUAUUGGGCGUAAAGCGCAUGUAGGCGGCUUUUUUAAGUCUGGUGUGAAAGCCUGUGGCUCAACCACAGAAUUGCAUUGGAUACUGGAAAGCUAGAAUCUGUAGAGGUAAGUGGAAUUCUAUGUGUAGCGGUGGAAGUAGCGUAGAUA
RNAcentral lists this ribosomal RNA (371 nucleotides) under uncultured bacterium. RNAcentral's name for it is "bacterial SSU rRNA". It matches the Rfam family "Bacterial small subunit ribosomal RNA", at positions 335 to 696 of the family's 1533-position model. The record is from RNAcentral.